UGGGGAAUAUUGCACAGUGGGGGAAACCCUGAUGCAGCGACGCCGCGUGAGCGAUGAAGUAUUUCGGUAUGUAAAGCUCUAUCAGCAGGGAAGAAAAUGACGGUACCUGACUAAGAAGCCCCGGCUAACUACGUGCC
RNAcentral lists this ribosomal RNA (137 nucleotides) under uncultured bacterium. RNAcentral describes it as "partial 16S ribosomal RNA". It matches the Rfam family "Bacterial small subunit ribosomal RNA", at positions 355 to 509 of the family's 1533-position model. The record is from RNAcentral.